GCCUGAGUGGCUCAGUCUGUUGAGCACCAGACUCUCGAUCUCUCGGUUCAUGGGUUCAAGCCCCAAGUCGGGCU
RNAcentral lists this transfer RNA (74 nucleotides) under Felis catus (domestic cat). It matches the Rfam family "tRNA". Rfam says of the family: Transfer RNA (tRNA) molecules are approximately 80 nucleotides in length. The record is from Rfam by way of RNAcentral. Lineage: Eukaryota; Metazoa; Chordata; Mammalia; Carnivora; Felidae.